GACGAACGCUGGCGGCGCGCUUAACACAUGCAAGUCGAACGGAAAGGCCUGCUUUCCCUUGUGGAUUGCGGGUACUCGAGUGGCGAACGGGUGAGUAACACGUGAGUGAUCUGCCCCCAACUUGGGUAUAAGCCUGGGAAACUGGGUCUAAUUCCCGAUAGGACUGCAGGGUGGUGCCUGUGGUGGAAAACGAUUUUCUAGUGGUUGGGGAUGAGCUCGCGGCCUAUCAGCUUGUUGGUGGGGUAAUGGCCUACCAAGGCGGCGACGGGUAGCCGGCCUGAGAGGGUGGACGGCCACAUUGGGACUGAGAUACGGCCCAGACGCCUACGGGAGGCAGCAGUGGGGAAUAGUGCACAAGGGGCGGAAGCCUGAUGCAGCGACGCCGCGUGGGGGAUGACGGCCUUCGGGUUGUAAACUCCUUUCGACCGCGAGGAAGCCACCUGGUUGGAAGGGUGGUGACGGUAGUGGUAGAAGAAGCACCGGCUAACUACGUG
Molecule: ribosomal RNA, 494 nt
Filed under: uncultured bacterium
Lineage: Bacteria
Description: partial 16S ribosomal RNA
Rfam family: Bacterial small subunit ribosomal RNA
Source: RNAcentral